Molecule: long non-coding RNA, 3465 nt
Organism: Diachasmimorpha longicaudata
Lineage: Eukaryota; Metazoa; Arthropoda; Insecta; Hymenoptera; Braconidae
Exons: 3
Source: RefSeq, a predicted model, not a curated record
AUUGGAACGAUUGGAACACACGAAGAGGACUUUGAGACCCGUUCAACGAGAGGGCUGAGACGAAAUGGCAAGCGGGGUGUGUGAAAAAGAACGAGACUGCGGUGCACUCUGGGAAGAGCCUCAGGACGCCCAUGAUUAUGCUUUUGGUCGGAGAUAGCUUUGGAGAAGAUGGUGCAGAGAAAUAUGUUGUUAAUAUUUUUUCUGGGAGGUUAUCAUGAUGUUUUGAGGCUUUCGUCUGAUCCAGGAAUUUUUGAGAUUUUUUUUUGAUUUUGUGAGGACGGGUGUGUUGCAGACAUUGAACAUUGUGGUGAGCUGAUAUUUAUUUUCAUCUUUUGGAGUUAUUUCGGAGCUGUGGAUUCUCGUAAAAAAAAAUGCUGUAAGACAUUGUUUCUGGGUUAUUCUUCCCGUCCAAUGUUGAGCCAAUAGAAUCACAGCAUUGAACUGUCUUUUAUAUAGUUAACACGAAAUUCAACCCGUGAUUUUUGGAAAAUUUCACUGGUCAUUUUUCACGUAACCCCGUCCAAUUUGACAGAUCGAAUAUUAUUUUGUUAAUUUUGUCUGAUGUUGUAAUUCUAUUGACCGACAUUUGGAUGUAAAAAUAAUUCCCCAAGUACCACUUCAAAAUUAUUGGGUAUUUCCCUUGAAGGUACCUGCAAAUAAAUGAAAUCGUCAUUAUUCAGAAAAAUCAUCCGCACUCGUAAUUUUGUAAUCUGGAAAGCUUGACUCCUUUAUUUGCUUGCGAUGAAGCUUUCAGGGAAAACCCGAUAAUUCCAGGCCUCUUGUGGUCUUACAUCUGACUAUUUGAUGGAGUGGAAAAAAUAUAAUUUGAUAUUUUCCAAUGCAGCUUGUACUUUCGAAAAUGUACAAUAAAGUUUGGAGUAAACUAGAAAACGUUAAUUCCAUGGGUUUUUAAUUCGGGAAUAUAUUUCUAAACGAGUCAUUUUACGAGGAAAUAUGUCAAAAAACUUAUUGUAAAUCGAGGAAUGAAAAAAAAAAUUUUUCCAACAUUUCCUCCCAAAGUCACUCAUUUUUAAGAUACUUUUGUUUUAAAAAAUAAAAUCUCUUCUGACUUUUCACUUCACUAACGAAUCACAAUCUCAGCAAUCUAUGAAUUAAGGUAGUGCAAAAAAUGUGAUAUCCCAUAAUGAUGAAAGCAACAAUAACUUCGUGAUGUAAAUGAAUUUUAUCUAACAAAUAAUUGGAAAUAUUCACCGUAGAAUAAUUAACUUCUGAGGAGUUCCUCCUCAGACAAUUCCGAAACCUACUCUGCCCAUAUCACUCUCAUUCCUCCUCCUUAUCGUCUUCCAUCCCAUAGCGAUGAGCCGCCAUAUCAUCAUCAGAUAAUUGUCAUUAUUUAAUCCCGGUUUAAUAGAAUUCAUCGAUGGGAAAAGAUUAAAGUGAUAAUGACAGCUGUUCGUGUGAAUUCUUUCGCUUUAAUUUCUAUCAAACAAAAAUUAAGAAUUCAUUAGGGUUUAAUUUAUCGAAAAAACGAUCAAGUUCAUUCGUACAAAUAUGAAAUUUAUUCAUCACAAACAGUGCAACAAAAUGGAAUGAAAAAUAAUUUAAUGAGAUUAUCGAUGCUGCUUCAACCACUAGUAUAUAUGAAUACACACGACUCUUAGAUGGAGUCAUACACCAACACAUAAGUUGUCUUCAGAAUAAAUUACUGAUAUCCACAAUCGCAAGUGUUCAAUUUUUUUGUUGCCCCACAGAAUAUUAAUAGCUCCCAUUUAAUUAAAAGUGUGGACAAAGACGUGCGCAAUGUGUCGAACGAUAAUUGUAUCGGUAUGUUGUCAGUGGCAAAUAUUUUCACAGCUAUGAAUCGCUAUCAGUCGACGAGAGUGACGCACUGGUCUAUCAUUCUCAAACCUACUCUUCACCCUUGUUCCAUCUUCGUUUUCAGACUUUUCUCUCAUUUAAUAAGAGAAUAAAUAGUUGAGUUCAGGCAGGUGGAGGAGGUGAAGCCGAUUAGAUUGCCGGUCUCGACGUGGACUCGCAGAGACUGGGAGCUAGGCAGAAGUACGUGGAGACUGAGAGAAUUAUCACGAGUAUCAGAGCUGCCCAAAAUAUCCAGAAUAAGAGGAGGCGAAUUUUUAUCCAGAGGGGGUUCGCUGCGUAGUAAUCGUAGUCACCAAUGAUAUCUGGGGGGAAUAUUUUCUGUGAGUUUUCACAAGAUUUUUUUUUAGUUGAGGGAGAAAACAGGUGAUAAGUGUAAUGAGAAGGGGUUCUAAUUGGGAAUUUUCUAAUUAUAUUAAUCAUAGAUUAUGUUAAUGUCAGAGCGGAUGAGAAACAAACACCAAAAUAUUAAGAUUAUAUAUUGAACAAUAUUUUCUAUUAUUUAUGAAAAUAUUAAUUGAAUAUUUCUAACGAGGAUAUUUUUUUAGAAAACAUUCUUAUGAUAUUUUUUAAUGGAAUUACUCAUUGAAGAGAUAAUUAGGCUCUCGUAUGAGGAUUUUUAGUGUUGGAUAUGAGAGUUGAAGGCAAAAUAUUGGACACGACUUUUUUUAUUUUCAAAAACAAUGGAAAAUGAACGGGUUAUUUACAAAAGAUUUUUCCUUUUUUUCCAUGGAAAUCAAUACGUAUCUCAUAUUUUGGGCGCAAAUAUUUGUAAAUCGAACGACAAGCCGAUUAUAUUAUCAUCUUAAUAAAGCAUGUAAAAGAAAUCAUUUUAUUAAAUUUUGAACAGCAAAAACUAUGAGAUGUUUUCUCUUGAAUUCAACAGAUAAUGAAAGGAUUUAAUUGACGAAUCAAAAUUAACGAAAAUAGUAAAUGUCUCAUGCGAAUUUUCGUAAACAAUUUAAAUAUGCGCAAGAAAAAUGGCCAUAUCGUAAAAAAAUGAAACUUUCUCACCAGUUCUGAGAUACUUUCCAUUCCCAAGAUCCACAAAAACCGGAGCAUCCAGUAGUCGACUGGUUUCAUUGACCAUCCUGUCACAUUCUGGUGGGUGUUGUCCCUUGAUAAAAUCCGUCGCCGACUGUCACAAUUCCAAACAAAACAGGGGAUUCAUAAAAACCCUCCAAAAAUAGUUUCCUAUGAAUUUUCUCGAUACAAACAAACCGAGAAAAUUGAUAACACCUCCAUCAUUCAUGGCCUUAUCAACCACUAACGCCAGAAAACAAGCGGAAUUGUCUCUUAUCGAAGAACAAUGAUAUAUUCGUGGAUAAUCGAAAUGUUUACCAGAUAGAGUUUCACGAUGUAAUACAUGCUUCUUCCUCUGUGAGCACCGGGAGCUACUGAAUCGAGUUGUUGAGUGGAAAUCGGUUGUUGUCCGCAGAGUGAAGGGGAGUAAAUAAAUAGAACUAUUGGGGAGAUGUCGGUUAUUAUAGGAAUGGCAAAUCCAUAAUGCUGAGGAUUUAAUUCUGACACCUGGACCUUCGGAGGUGUACGCACGUGUGGAGGUCGUGGAUGGUGAUGCAGGAAGACAAUUCGACGACGGGUUUAUACUAUUUAUGGUCAAAAUUAAUC